GAAGUAAAAAAAAAGAAUAGAUGACUUAAACUGCUAAUCCUAAACUGAAAACACAACGGAGGUGCCAAUAACAGAACUAAAUGGGCUCAAAGUAAAAAAAAUUAGAUUUAAUCCAAAAUGAAAGAAAACAAAAACAACAAAACAAAAAGUAAAUAAAUAAUAGGAAGAAUAAAGAGAUACUUUUUAAAAAGAAUAAAAUUAAAAGAAAGACAUAAAAUAAAAGCCAAAAGUAAAAUUAAAUGCAAAAAAAAAAUUGAAAAGGAA
RNAcentral lists this long non-coding RNA (264 nucleotides) under Lathyrus oleraceus (garden pea). RNAcentral describes it as "Pisum sativum (pea) long non-coding RNA (PSAT_LNC014681)". The record is from RNAcentral. Lineage: Eukaryota; Viridiplantae; Streptophyta; Magnoliopsida; Fabales; Fabaceae.